UACAGAGGGUGCGAGCGUUAAUCGGAAUUACUGGGCGUAAAGGGCGCGUAGGCGGUUAUGUAAGUUAGAUGUGAAAUCCCCGGGCUUAACCUGGGAACUGCAUUUAAUACUGUAUGACUAGAGUAGAAUAGAGGGAAGUGGAAUUUCCGGUGUAGCGGUGAAAUGCGUAGAUAUCGGAAAGAACACCAGUGGCGAAGGCGGCUUCCUGGAUUCAUACUGACGCUGAGGCGCGAAAGCGUGGGGAGCAAACAGG
This 253-nucleotide ribosomal RNA is filed under the name uncultured bacterium. RNAcentral's name for it is "partial 16S ribosomal RNA". It matches the Rfam family "Bacterial small subunit ribosomal RNA", at positions 524 to 776 of the family's 1533-position model. The record is from RNAcentral.